CCUACGGGUGGCAGCAGUCGAGAAUCAUUCACAAUGGGGGAAACCCUGAUGGUGCGACGCCGCGUGGGGGAAUGAAGGUCUUCGGAUUGUAAACCCCUGUCACGUGGGAGCAAAUUAAAAAGAUAGUACCACAAGAGGAAGAGACGGCUAACUCUGUGCCAACAGCCGCGGUAAUACAGAGGUGUCAAGCGUUGUUCGGAAUCACUGGGCGUAAAGCGUGCGUAGGCUGUUUCGUAAGUCCUGUGGGAAAAGUGCGGGCUCAACCCGCGGACGGCACAUGAUACUGCGAGACUAGAGUAAUGGAGAGGGAGCCGGAAUUCUCGGUGUAGCAGUGAAAUGCGUAGAUAUCGAGAGGAACACUCGUGGCGAAGGCGGGUUCCUGGACAUUAACUGACGCUGAGGCACGAAGGCCAGGGGAGCGAAAGGGAUUAGAUACCCUUGUAGUC
RNAcentral lists this ribosomal RNA (446 nucleotides) under uncultured bacterium. RNAcentral's name for it is "partial 16S ribosomal RNA". It matches the Rfam family "Bacterial small subunit ribosomal RNA", at positions 338 to 795 of the family's 1533-position model. The record is from RNAcentral.